Molecule: ribosomal RNA, 468 nt
Filed under: uncultured bacterium
Lineage: Bacteria
Description: partial 16S ribosomal RNA
Rfam family: Bacterial small subunit ribosomal RNA
Source: RNAcentral
GACGAACGCUGGCGGCGGGCUUAACACAUGCAAGUCGAACGGAAAGGCCCUGCGUUUGUGGGGUGCUCGAGGGGCGAACGGGGGAGUAACACGUGAAUAACCUGCUCUUGACUUUGGGGUAACUUCAGGUAACGAGGGCUAAUACCAGAUCGGAGCUCAUGCUCCAUGGUAGGGGGUGGAACUUUUCGGCGGGCGGGGUUGGACUGGCGGCUUAUCAGCUUGUUGGUGGGCGAGGGGCUUGCCAAGGCUUGGACUGAUAGGCAGCAGGGGAGGGUGAACGGCCACAAUGGGACUGAGAGACGGCGCAGACUCGUACGUGAGGCAACAGUGGGGAAUAUUGCACAGUGGGCGGAAGCCUGAUGCAGCGACGCCGCGUGCGGGAUGACGGCCUUCGGGUUGUAAACAGCUUUCGCCUGUGACGACGCGUGAGUGACGGUAAUGGGUAAAGAAGCACCGGCUAACUACGUG